RNAcentral lists this ribosomal RNA (628 nucleotides) under uncultured Actinomyces sp. RNAcentral describes it as "bacterial SSU rRNA". It matches the Rfam family "Bacterial small subunit ribosomal RNA", at positions 28 to 653 of the family's 1533-position model. Lineage: Bacteria; Bacillati; Actinomycetota; Actinomycetes; Actinomycetales; Actinomycetaceae. The record is from RNAcentral.
GACGAACGCUGGCGGCGUGCUUAACACAUGCAAGUCGAACGCUGAAGGCCCAGCUUGCUGGGUUGGAUGAGUGGCGAACGGGUGAGUAACACGUGAGUAACCUGCCCCCUUCUUUGGGAUAACGGUCGGAAACGGCUGCUAAUACCGGGUAUUCACUGUCCUUCGCAUGGGGGGUGGUGGAAAGGUUUUUUCUGGUGGGGGAUGGGCUCGCGGCCUAUCAGCUUGUUGGUGGGGUGAUGGCUUACCAAGGCUUUGACGGGUAACCGGCCUGAGAGGGUGACCGGUCACAUUGGGACUGAGAUACGGCCCAGACUCCUACGGGAGGCAGCAGUGGGGAAUAUUGCACAAUGGGCGAAAGCCUGAUGCAGCGACGCCGCGUGAGGGAUGGAGGCCUUCGGGUUGUAAACCUCUUUCGCUCAUGGUCAAGCCGCAACAGUGGUUGUGGUGAGGGUAGUGGGUAAAGAAGCACCGGCUAACUACGUGCCAGCAGCCGCGGUAAUACGUAGGGUGCGAGCGUUGUCCGGAAUUAUUUGGGCGUAUAGGGCUUGUAGGCGGUUUGUCGCGUCUGCCGUGAAAUCCUCUGGCUAACUGGGGGCGUGCGUGGGUACGGGCACGCUUGAGUGCGGUA